RNAcentral lists this ribosomal RNA (1234 nucleotides) under human gut metagenome. RNAcentral's name for it is "eukaryotic LSU rRNA". It matches the Rfam family "Eukaryotic large subunit ribosomal RNA", at positions 1790 to 3401 of the family's 3401-position model. The record is from RNAcentral.
CUAUUUAAAUGAUCCAUGAAACGAUAAGUUUAUUUUUUCAAAAAUUAAUUUAAUCGUACCGAUAACCGCAUCAGGUCUCCAAGGUGAGUAGCUUCUGGCCAUUGAGUAAUGGUAAUUUAGGGAAUUCGGCCAAUUAGAGCUGUAACUUCGGGAUAAAGCUUGGCUCUGAUGGAAAUCAGAACCGAUAGUUACAAGGAGAGCCCAACUGUUUAAUAAAAACUUAGUGUCGCGUCAUACCUUUAUAAGUAAUAAACGUGACAUGAAUCCUGCUCAGUGCUGUGUUUGUUAAACUGGAUUAAUCCAUUUAAGCGCCGGUAAAUAGCUGGGGUAACUAUGACUCUUAUCAAAGUAGCGAAAUACCUCGUCACUUAAUUAGUGACCUGCAUGAACGGAGCUAUGAGGUUCUCACUGUCCCAAAUUAUCACUCAGCGAACCAACAGUUGUGGGAACGGGCACAAAUUAUCCAGCGGGGAAAGAAGACCCUGUAGAGCUUCACUUUGGUCUAAUCUUGUAUAGUUUCGUUAGGGGUGCAGUCUAGGUGGGAGAUUUUUAAUCAAAUAUGAGAAACCACUACCCUUUCUGGAAUUAUACUUACUAAAAUUCUUUUAUAAAUUUUAGGAUCGGAUUAGAUAGAAAGUUUGGCUGGGGCGGCACACCUUCGAAAAAGCAGCGAAGGUGUCCUAAGUUAAGCUCAGUAAGGACAGAAAUCUUACGUUGAGGAUAAGGCCAAAAGCUUAAUUUACUGUGCCUUUUUGUACUAGGAUCAGUUUGGAAACAAAGGCCUAACGAUCCCUAAUUAGUCUUAGGUGUGUAAGACUUGGGGUGACAGACAAGUUACCUCCGGGACAACUGGCUUGUGGCUGCUAAGAGAUCAAAUCAACGCAGCUUUUUGAUUCUUCGAUGUCGGCUCUUCCUAUCCUAGUGAUGUACAAGUCACUAAGGGUUGGAUUGUUCACCCGUAUUAGGGAUCGUGAGCUGGGUUUAGACCGUCGUGAGCCAGGUUUGUUUUAUCCUACUGGAUAUAAUUUAGCAUCUUGAUAGUAGUUUGAUUUAGUACGAGAGGAACUGUUGAAUAUGGUCUCUGGUUUGGGAAUUUUAUGAAAAUAAAAGUUCCAAAGCUACGCCGUCUGAGAUAAUGGCUGAAGGCCUCUUAAGCCAGAAACUCAUCUAAAAAUAGAUGCUUUAAACUAUUUAAAAGAAUUAAAUUUAAAAUAUUUUUUUUAUUAAAAUUUGU